AAGUCGUACAGGUUUCGUAGGUGAACCUGCGGAAGGAUCAUUAUUGAAUAAGCUUGGUUGGGUUGUUGCUGGUCCUUUGGGGCAUUGUGCACGCCUAACCACCAAUCUUUUUCUUACCACCUGUGCACCUUUUGUAGACCCUGGAUAUCUCUCGAGGAAACUCGGUAUGAGGGUUGCUGUUCUUCAAAAGUCAGCUUUCCUUGCAUUUCCGGUCUAUGUCUUUUGUAUGCUCCGUCAGUAUGUCUAUGAACGUUUUAUAUUUAUCGGACUUGAUUGUCCAAUAAAAACUUUAAUACAACUUUCAACAACGGAUCUCUUGGCUCUCGCAUCGAUGAAGAACGCAGCGAAAUGCGAUAAGUAAUGUGAAUUGCAGAAUUCAGUGAAUCAUCGAAUCUUUGAACGCACCUUGCGCUCCUUGGUAUUCCGAGGAGCAUGCCUGUUUGAGUGUCAUAAAAUUCUCAACCUUUUUCAGCUUUCGUUGAAUUAGGCUUGGAUGUGGGAGUUUGCUGGUUUUAUUUAUUUGAAGUCGGCUCUCCUUAAAUUCAUUAGUAGGAUCUGUGUUGCCUUAGCUUUUGGUGUGAUAAAUUAUCUACGUCAUUAUUGCUAUGCAGCUUUUUACAAGGUUACUGCUUUCUAACCGUCUCUGAUGGGACAAUUUCUGACAAUAUGACCUCAAAUCAGUAGACUACCCGCUGAACUAA
This 701-nucleotide ribosomal RNA is filed under the name uncultured Tricholoma. RNAcentral's name for it is "eukaryotic LSU rRNA". The stretch from base 297 to 450 matches the Rfam family "5.8S ribosomal RNA". The record is from RNAcentral. Lineage: Eukaryota; Fungi; Basidiomycota; Agaricomycetes; Agaricales; Tricholomataceae.